This is a long non-coding RNA of Suricata suricatta (meerkat), 249 nucleotides long. RefSeq lists it as uncharacterized. NCBI's taxonomy places the organism in Eukaryota, Metazoa, Chordata, Mammalia, Carnivora, Herpestidae. The transcript has 3 exons. The record is from RefSeq and is a predicted model, not a curated record.
GUGGAAUGCUCAACUGAAGGGCUCCCAGGAACUGGGGGUGCACUAGGGCCUCCCGCUCCUCUGUUUUACAUAAAUGGUGCGUUGAGAAGUGGGGACCUGACAUGGACAGGCAUCUUGAAAAUCAGGCAUAUUAAGAGAGGCUGUUGAAAACUGAAUGUGAAAUGGAAGUGAUGCCAGACUUUCAAGUCAAAACUGCUCCUCGGUUUCUCCAGCAAAUCCUCCCGCAAAUUGACUAAAGAUUCAAAUGUA